UACGUAGGGGGCGAGCGUUAUCCGGAUUUACUGGGCGUAAAGCGCGUUAAGGCGGUUGGCAAAGUUGGUUGUGAAAUCUCAGGGCUCAACCCUGAAAUUGCGACCAAUACUGGUCGACUAGAGUGCAAGAGAGGAAGGUGGAAUUCCCGGUGUAGUAGUGAAAUGCGUAGAUAUCGGGAGGAACACCAGUGGCGAAAGCGGCCUUCUGGCUUGCAACUGACGCUGUAGCGCGAAAGCGUGGGGAGCGAACAGG
RNAcentral lists this ribosomal RNA (253 nucleotides) under uncultured bacterium. RNAcentral's name for it is "partial 16S ribosomal RNA". It matches the Rfam family "Bacterial small subunit ribosomal RNA", at positions 524 to 776 of the family's 1533-position model. The record is from RNAcentral.